GGUCCGAGAACAAGAGGACGCAGGCAGAAUUGAGUUUGGGUACCAUUUUUUUUCCUUUUUUUCUCUUUUUUGAAACAUUGGGGACAAUGUUUUAUUUAAGUGUAGGGGGGAAAACCUUGUUUCAGUCAUGUUUAUUUCCCUUUCAAGUAUGUUAUUUCCCUUUCAAUAUUUCCCUUUCAAGUAUGUUAUUUCCCUUUCAAUAAUAAUUUUUUUUCUUUCUUAAGUCAAGUCCCUAGUGUGAAAAUUCUUAUUAUCUAUUC
This 260-nucleotide long non-coding RNA is filed under the name Lathyrus oleraceus (garden pea). Its description in RNAcentral is "Pisum sativum (pea) long non-coding RNA (PSAT_LNC028404)". The record is from RNAcentral. Lineage: Eukaryota; Viridiplantae; Streptophyta; Magnoliopsida; Fabales; Fabaceae.